This 253-nucleotide ribosomal RNA is filed under the name uncultured bacterium. RNAcentral describes it as "partial 16S ribosomal RNA". It matches the Rfam family "Bacterial small subunit ribosomal RNA", at positions 524 to 776 of the family's 1533-position model. The record is from RNAcentral.
UACAGAGGUCCCAAGCGUUGUUCGGAUUCACUGGGCGUAAAGGGUGCGUAGGUGGCCGGGUAAGUCUGACGUGAAAUCUCCGAGCCUAACUCGGAAACUGCAUCGGAUACUAUCCGGCUUGAGGGUUGGAGGGGGGACUGGAAUACUUGGUGUAGCAGUGAAAUGCGUAGAUAUCAAGUGGAACACCAGUGGCGAAGGCGAGUCCCUGGACAACUCCUGACACUGAGGUACGAAAGCUAGGGGAGCAAACAGG